GAUGAACGCUGGUGGCGUGCCUAACACAUGCAAGUCGAGCGAUUCUCUUCGGAGAAGAGCGGCGGACGGGUGAGUAACGCGUGGGUAACCUGCCCUGUACACACGGAUAACAUACCGAAAGGUAUGCUAAUACGAGAUAACAUGCUUUUAUCGCAUGGUAGAAGUAUCAAAGCUUUUGCGGUACAGGAUGGACCCGCGUCUGAUUAGCUAGUUGGUGAGGUAACGGCUCACCAAGGCGACGAUCAGUAGCCGACCUGAGAGGGUGAUCGGCCACAUUGGAACUGAGACACGGUCCAAACUCCUACGGGAGGCAGCAGUGGGGAAUAUUGCACAAUGGGCGAAAGCCUGAUGCAGCAACGCCGCGUGAGCGAUGAAGGCCUUCGGGUCGUAAAGCGCUGUCCUCAAGGAAGAUAAUGACGGUACUUGAGGAGGAAGCCCCGGCUAACUACGUG
This 452-nucleotide ribosomal RNA is filed under the name uncultured bacterium. RNAcentral's name for it is "partial 16S ribosomal RNA". It matches the Rfam family "Bacterial small subunit ribosomal RNA", at positions 28 to 507 of the family's 1533-position model. The record is from RNAcentral.